Molecule: ribosomal RNA, 516 nt
Filed under: uncultured Prevotella sp.
Lineage: Bacteria; Pseudomonadati; Bacteroidota; Bacteroidia; Bacteroidales; Prevotellaceae
Description: bacterial SSU rRNA
Rfam family: Bacterial small subunit ribosomal RNA
Source: RNAcentral
GAUGAACGCUAGCUAUAGGCUUAACACAUGCAAGUCGAGGGGCAGCGAAUAGAUAGCUUGCUUAUUUAUGUCGGCGACCCGGCCGCACGGGGUGAGGUAACGGCGUAUCCAACCUGCCAUAACGUAAGGGACUAACCCAGCGAAAGUUGGACUAAUACCUUAUGUAUUCGUUUGAUCUCAUGAGAUUACGAAUAAAGAUUUAUCGGUUAUGGAUGGGGAUGCGUCUGAUUAGCUUGUUGGCGGGGUAACGGCCCACCAAGGCAACGAUCAGUAGGGGUUCUGAGAGGAAGGUCCCCCACAUUGGAACUGAGACACGGUCCAAAACUCCUACGGGGAGGCAGCAGUGAGGAAUAUUGGUCAAUGGACGCAAGUCUGAACCAGCCAAGUAGCGUGCAGGAUGACGGCCCUAUGGGUUGUAAACUGCUUUUAUAUGGGGAUAAAGUGGGGAACGUGUUCCCUUUUGCAGGUACCAUAUGAAUAAGGACCGGCUAAUUCCGUGCCAGCAGCCGCGGUAAU